This 503-nucleotide ribosomal RNA is filed under the name uncultured bacterium. RNAcentral describes it as "bacterial SSU rRNA". It matches the Rfam family "Bacterial small subunit ribosomal RNA", at positions 21 to 518 of the family's 1533-position model. The record is from RNAcentral.
GGCUCAGGAUGAACGCUAGCGGCAGGCUUAACACAUGCAAGUCGAGGGGCAUCGGGAGUAGCAAUACUGCCGGCGACCGGCGCAAGGGUGCGUAACGCGUGAGCAACAUGCCCGUAUCAGGGGGAUAAUCCAUGGAAACGUGGUCUAAUACCCCAUAGUAAUUAUGUAAGGCAUCUUAUAUAAUUUAAAGCUUUGGUGGAUACGGAUUGGCUCGCGUGACAUUAGCUAGAUGGUAAGGUAACGGCUUACCAUGGCUACGAUGUCUAGGGGUUCUGAGAGGAAGGUCCCCCACACUGGAACUGAGACACGGUCCAGACUCCUACGGGAGGCAGCAGUGAGGAAUAUUGGACAAUGGAUGGAAAUCUGAUCCAGCCAUGCCGCGUGCCAGGAAGGACGGCCCUAUGGGUUGUAAACUGCUUUUGUAUGGGAGCAAUAAGGGCUACGCGUAGUCCGAUGAGAGUACCAUACGAAUAAGCACCGGCUAACUCCGUGCCAGCCGCCGC